This 496-nucleotide ribosomal RNA is filed under the name uncultured bacterium. Its description in RNAcentral is "partial 16S ribosomal RNA". It matches the Rfam family "Bacterial small subunit ribosomal RNA", at positions 29 to 507 of the family's 1533-position model. The record is from RNAcentral.
AUGAACGCUGGCGGCGUGCCUAAUACAUGCAAGUCGAGCGAACAGACGAGGAGCUUGCUCCUCUGACGUUAGCGGCGGACGGGUGAGUAACACGUGGAUAACCUACCUAUAAGACUGGGAUAACUUCGGGAAACCGGAGCUAAUACCGGAUAAUAUAUUGAACCGCAUGGUUCAAUAGUGAAAGACGGUUUUGCUGUCACUUAUAGAUGGAUCCGCGCCGCAUUAGCUAGUUGGUAAGGUAACGGCUUACCAAGGCAACGAUGCGUAGCCGACCUGAGAGGGUGAUCGGCCACACUGGAACUGAGACACGGUCCAGACUCCUACGGGAGGCAGCAGUAGGGAAUCUUCCGCAAUGGGCGAAAGCCUGACGGAGCAACGCCGCGUGAGUGAUGAAGGUCUUCGGAUCGUAAAACUCUGUUAUUAGGGAUGAACAAAUGUGUAAGUAACUAUGCACGUCUUGACGGUACCUAAUCAGAAAGCCACGGCUAACUACGUG